CGGGGUGUGGCGCAGGGGAAGCGCGCCUGUUUUGGGAACAGGAGGUCGUGGGUUCAAAUCCCACCACCCCGACCA
RNAcentral lists this transfer RNA (75 nucleotides) under Chloroflexota bacterium. Its description in RNAcentral is "tRNA-Pro". It matches the Rfam family "tRNA". From Rfam's summary of the family: Transfer RNA (tRNA) molecules are approximately 80 nucleotides in length. Their secondary structure includes four short double-helical elements and three loops (D, anti-codon, and T loops). RNAcentral also lists the same sequence under 2 other names. Lineage: Bacteria; Bacillati; Chloroflexota. The record is from RNAcentral.